UUAACUCAAAUUUGUAUGCAAUUGGAACAGCGCCCCUAGCGGCAAACGUUCCAACUCCAUACAAAUUUGAGUUA
Molecule: microRNA precursor, 74 nt
Filed under: Bombyx mori (domestic silkworm)
Lineage: Eukaryota; Metazoa; Arthropoda; Insecta; Lepidoptera; Bombycidae
Description: mir-2807 microRNA precursor family
Rfam family: mir-2807 microRNA precursor family
Source: Rfam by way of RNAcentral